AGUUAAACAGUACGUGAAAUUGUUGAAAGGGAAACGAUUGAAGUCAGUCGUACCAACGGGAAAUCAAUUCAUCGAGUGUUGAAUUUGGGUCUUGAAGAGUCUUAAAACCUUUGGGUUCAGAUAUUUUCACUUUUUGAACGUAUUUUCUCGUACGGUAGGUUAACAUCGAUUUUGAACAUUAUAAAAUGAUCGGAGGAAUGUAGCUUCGAUCUUGUAUUGAAGUGUUAUAGCCUUUGGUAGAUGUAAUGAUCGGGAUCGAGGAUUGCAACGAAUACCCUUUUGGGCUAUCCGUCUGAUCUCUGAUACGUUGCCUCGGUAACGAAAGCGUGCUUACGGUAUUGAGGUAUUACGGUCAAAAGGUUAGAACGAGAUUACAUUCGUUAAGGAUGUUGACGUAAUGGCUUUAAA
Molecule: unclassified non-coding RNA, 408 nt
Filed under: uncultured Funneliformis
Lineage: Eukaryota; Fungi; Glomeromycota; Glomeromycetes; Glomerales; Glomeraceae
Description: sequence contains 28S rRNA gene
Source: RNAcentral